RNAcentral lists this ribosomal RNA (253 nucleotides) under uncultured bacterium. Its description in RNAcentral is "partial 16S ribosomal RNA". It matches the Rfam family "Bacterial small subunit ribosomal RNA", at positions 524 to 776 of the family's 1533-position model. The record is from RNAcentral.
UACGUAGGCAGCGAGCGUUGUUCGGAAUUACUGGGCGUAAAGAGUGUGUAGGCGGCGCUCUAAGUUCGGUGUGAAAUCUCUCGGCUUAACUGGGAGGGUGCGCCGGAAACUGGAGUGCUCGAACGUGGGAGAGGAAAGCGGAAUUCCUGGUGUAGCGGUGAAAUGCGUAGAUAUCGGGAGGAACACCUGUGGCGAAAGCGGCGCACUGGACCAUAACUGACGCUGAUGCGCGAAAGCUAGGGGAGCAAACAGG